AAAAAAUUCAUAUUACAAGAACACAUUGGUGUUGAAGGAACUAGAUACUGUUCCGAAAUAUCACUUACUCGAACCGUCCUGACCGCGUAGCUCAGUUGGAAGAGCAUUGGGCUAGUAUUCCAAAGGUCGUAGGUUCGAAUCCCAACGUGGCCGGGCAUAUUUUUCAAGCUCGCCCGGUGUGGAUAUGCACUCAGAGUAACAUCACAAACAUAUUAUUCACCUGAGUACACAAC
Molecule: non-coding RNA, 233 nt
Organism: Paramuricea clavata
Lineage: Eukaryota; Metazoa; Cnidaria; Anthozoa; Malacalcyonacea; Plexauridae
Source: the annotation of a GenBank genome assembly